AUUGAACGCUGGCGGCAUGCUUUACACAUGCAAGUCGAACGGUAACAGGCCGCAAGGUGCUGACGAGUGGCGAACGGGUGAGUAAUGCAUCGGAACGUGCCCAGUCGUGGGGGAUAACUACUCGAAAGAGUAGCUAAUACCGCAUACGAUCUAUGGAUGAAAGCGGGGGACCGUAAGGCCUCGCGCGAUUGGAGCGGCCGAUGUCAGAUUAGGUAGUUGGUGGGGUAAAGGCUCACCAAGCCAACGAACUGUAGCUGGUCUGAGAGGACGACCAGCCACACUGGGACUGAGACACGGCCCAGACUCCUACGGGAGGCAGCAGUGGGGAAUUUUGGACAAUGGGCGCAAGCCUGAUCCAGCAAUGCCGCGUGCAGGAAGAAGGCCUUCGGGUUGUAAACUGCUUUUGUACGGAACGAAACGGCUCUGGUUAAUACCCGGGGCUAAUGACGGUACCGUAAGAAUAAGCACCGGCUAACUACGUG
Molecule: ribosomal RNA, 482 nt
Filed under: uncultured bacterium
Lineage: Bacteria
Description: partial 16S ribosomal RNA
Rfam family: Bacterial small subunit ribosomal RNA
Source: RNAcentral